AAUGGCAGCCAAGUACCAUACAAAGGUAUAUUGCAGGCAAACAUUAAUUGGCGGAAACUAUGGUCUUCUCAAUACAACCACAUUUGUUCCCAAUCCUGACUAUUACAGUGCCCUUUUGUGGCAUCGGCUUAUGGGGAAAGGUGUUCUAGCUGUUGGAAGCGAUGCUUCACCGCAUCUGCGUGCUUAUGCCCAUUGCUCAAAAGGACGAGCAGGUAUAACUUUACUGCUAAUCAAUUUAAGCAAUCAGACUGAUUUUAUAAUCAGUGUUCGAAAUAGUAUGACAAUGAGAUUGCAUGUGGAAAAGAAAUUAAUUCAGAAAGAAAACUCUUUGACGCGUGACCUUAAGAGAUCAGUUUCGUGGGUCGGAAAUGAAGCAUCCAACGGAGCAACCAGGGAGGAGUAUCAUCUAACUCCGAAAGAUGGGUACCUUCGAAGUGAAACCAUGGUUCUAAAUGGAAUCCCAUUAAAACUCACUGAAAGUGGAGACAUCCCAAGAUUGGACCCUGUCCACAAUAAUGUGAAUUCUCCUAUAUAUAUAAGUCCUUUGUCCAUUUCAUUCAUAGUGUUCCCUAGUUUUGAUGC
RNAcentral lists this unclassified non-coding RNA (582 nucleotides) under Hevea brasiliensis (rubber tree). Lineage: Eukaryota; Viridiplantae; Streptophyta; Magnoliopsida; Malpighiales; Euphorbiaceae. The record is from RNAcentral.